Molecule: ribosomal RNA, 501 nt
Filed under: uncultured bacterium
Lineage: Bacteria
Description: bacterial SSU rRNA
Rfam family: Bacterial small subunit ribosomal RNA
Source: RNAcentral
UCGCGCGCGAAGGUGACUUCGGUCACCGGAGAGCGGCGAACGGGUGAGUAACACGUGGGUGAUCUGCCUGGAAGCGGGGGAUAACCUGGGGAAACUCGGGCUAACACCGCAUACGUUCUCUGUGAUGCGUCAUGGAGAAGAAAACCGGCCUCUACUUGUAAGCUGGUGCUUCCAGAGGAGCCCGCGGCUGAUUAGCUAGUUGGUGGGGUAAUGGCUCACCAAGGCGACGAUCAGUAGCCGGCCUGAGAGGGUGAUCGGCCACACUGGGACUGAGACACGGCCCAGACUCCUACGGGAGGCAGCAGUGGGGAAUAUUGGACAAUGGGCGCAAGCCUGAUCCAGCAACGCCGCGUGGAGGACGAAGGCCUUCGGGUCGUAAACUCCUGUCAGACGGGACGAAGGUGUGAGGGUAAAUAAUCCUUACGCUUGACGGUACCGUCAGAGGAAGCCCCGGCUAACUCCGUGCCAGCAGCCGCGGUAAUACGGAGGGGACGAGCGUUA